Molecule: transfer RNA, 72 nt
Filed under: Saccharomyces cerevisiae (brewer's yeast)
Lineage: Eukaryota; Fungi; Ascomycota; Saccharomycetes; Saccharomycetales; Saccharomycetaceae
Description: tRNA-Tyr
Rfam family: tRNA
About the family: Transfer RNA (tRNA) molecules are approximately 80 nucleotides in length. Their secondary structure includes four short double-helical elements and three loops (D, anti-codon, and T loops). Further hydrogen bonds mediate the characteristic L-shaped molecular structure. tRNAs have two regions of fundamental functional importance: the anti-codon, which is responsible for specific mRNA codon recognition, and the 3' end, to which the tRNAs corresponding amino acid is attached (by aminoacyl-tRNA synthetases). tRNAs cope with the degeneracy of the genetic code in two manners: having more than one tRNA (with a specific anti-codon) for a particular amino acid; and 'wobble' base-pairing, i.e. permitting non-standard base-pairing at the 3rd anti-codon position.
Source: RNAcentral
CUCUCGGUAGCCAAGUUGGUUUAAGGCGCAAGACUUUAAUCUUGAGAUCGGGCGUUCGAUCGCCCCGGGAGA